UACGGAGGGUGCAAACGUUGCUCGGAAUCAUUGGGCGUAAAGCGCACGUAGGCGGCCCAGCAAGUCGGGUGUGAAAGCCCUCGGCUUAACCGAGGAAGUGCAUUCGAAACUACUGAGCUUGAAUACUGGAGAGGAUCGCGGAAUUCCCGGUGUAGAGGUGAAAUUCGUAGAUAUCGGGAGGAACACCAGUGGCGAAGGCGGCGAUCUGGACGGAUAUUGACGCUGAGGUGCGAAAGCGUGGGGAGCAAACAGG
RNAcentral lists this ribosomal RNA (253 nucleotides) under uncultured bacterium. RNAcentral's name for it is "partial 16S ribosomal RNA". It matches the Rfam family "Bacterial small subunit ribosomal RNA", at positions 524 to 776 of the family's 1533-position model. The record is from RNAcentral.